RNAcentral lists this ribosomal RNA (509 nucleotides) under uncultured bacterium. RNAcentral describes it as "partial 16S ribosomal RNA". It matches the Rfam family "Bacterial small subunit ribosomal RNA", at positions 28 to 523 of the family's 1533-position model. The record is from RNAcentral.
GAUGAACGCUGGCGGCGUGCUUAACACAUGCAAGUCGAACGGAAAUAGAAGGAAGCCUAGCGAAUUCUAUUUUAGUGGCGGACGGGUGAGUAACGCGUGGGUAACCUGCCUUGUACUGGGGGCUAACACUGAGAAAUAGGUGCUAAUACCGCAUAAGCAUACGACAUCGCAUGACUUUGUGUGAAAAACCAUGGUGGUACAAGAUGGACCAGCGUCUGAUUAGCUAGUUGGUGAGGCAAUGGCGCACCUAGUCGACGAUCCCUAGCUGGUCUGAGAGGAUGACAAGCCACACUGGAACUGAGACACGGUCCAGACUCCUACGGGAGGCAGCAGUGGGGAAUAUUGCACAAUGGGCGCAAGCCUGAUGCAGCCAUGCCGCGUGUAUGAAGAAGGCCUUCGGGUUGUAAAGUACUUUCAGCGGGGAGGAAGGCGGUGAAGUUACUAGCUUAACCGAUUGACGUUACCCGCAGAAGAAGCACCGGCUAACUCCGUGCCAGCCGCCGCCGUAA